Molecule: signal recognition particle RNA, 303 nt
Filed under: Phascolarctos cinereus (koala)
Lineage: Eukaryota; Metazoa; Chordata; Mammalia; Diprotodontia; Phascolarctidae
Description: Metazoan signal recognition particle RNA (ENSPCIG00000028628.2)
Rfam family: Metazoan signal recognition particle RNA
About the family: The signal recognition particle (SRP) is a universally conserved ribonucleoprotein. It is involved in the co-translational targeting of proteins to membranes. The eukaryotic SRP consists of a 300-nucleotide 7S RNA and six proteins: SRPs 72, 68, 54, 19, 14, and 9.
Source: Rfam by way of RNAcentral
GCCACACAUGGCAGCAUAGGCUUGUCAUCCCUGCUACCAGGGAGGCUGAGGUUAAGGCUGGUGACUUCUUGAGGUCAGGAGUUCAGAGUUCACAGUGGACUAAGCCAACCUGGUGACCACACUAAGUCUGGCACCAACAUGGUGAGCCCCUGAGAGCUGGUGGGGCGGAGGGGCCUAAGGAGGGGUGAACUAGCCCAGGCUGGAAACAGAGCAGGUCAAAGCUUUGUGCUGACCAGUAGUAGCUCCAGGCCUGUAAGUGGUCACUGCCUCUCCAGCCUGGGCAAGACCGGGGGACCCAGUCCA